This 9725-nucleotide long non-coding RNA is filed under the name Capsicum annuum. RNAcentral's name for it is "long non-coding RNA (CANN_LNC021040)". The record is from RNAcentral. Lineage: Eukaryota; Viridiplantae; Streptophyta; Magnoliopsida; Solanales; Solanaceae.
GGACAGAUUGCUAUUUUUUAGGAAUUUUCAGAUUUCAACUUUUUUUUUUAUUAAAUUUUUGUUUUUUGAUUUUUCAACUAACAACCCCAAGAUUGAUCUUGUGGGAACAAGAUCAAGCCAUGCUCUGAUACCAAAUGAUACGAGAAAGACAACAGAAGGCACAAAAUACACUCCAAAUCAGUCCCCAAUCUUAAGGAUCCGAGGACCAAGAUGGAGACCACUCUCGGAUUCGCUAUCAAAAAGAAGAAUGCAAGAUACAAUGCUAUAUAUAACACCAAAAACAGCUAAAAAAUGUGACGAACAAGAUGAAUAACAAUAAUACAAGUUUUAGAUUCAAUAAAGGACCCAAAACAGUCCACUACAAAAGAUGACAACAACAAAAGUAAAGGAUAGAUAGUGAGACCAAGAUUAUUACAAGAUUAAGAACUAAAGAGUGUAUUAAACUCAAAAACCCCUAAUGAAUGUAAUAAUCGAAACCGCACUCUUACGGCGACCGCCAAGGGAAUCAACUCACCUCAAGAUCCAUCGUUUCCAAGCAAAGAGCAAUACUAGCUUUUCCAAGCCUUAACUAAGACUAAGUGUUCUACUCUCAAGAGAGGAUUUUUAAUGUUUCAAUCUUUCAUCUUUCAUAAACUAAUGAGAUAAAACCUAAGAAAAUCCUACUUAUCGUAUAUUACAAAAGAAGCCAAAAACGACUACACUACCCUUAAUGACCAAGGCUGGCCUUGGUGUGUUGGAAAAUAAUAUGAAUUGUCCAAAAUGCCCCUAAGGCUAAGUGACCAAAAUGCCCUUAAUAAAGGGAACCAAAACCGUGAACCAACAAAGGUGGUCAAAACCAGAGUGUCCUUAAGCCUUCAAAGCUCCAAGCAAUCGUCCACACUCGGGUUUGAUCAAUGGUAGGCUCAAUGCAUCCCCUCCAAGUAUGAUCACAUACCAUCCAUGUGAUCAAAGCUUGAUUCUUCACAUAGUGACUUUGAAUGAUGUCAUCGAAAGCUAAGGCGGCCAUUAUUCUUGUAUCAGUAACUGAGACAUAAAAAAUUUUCAUAAUCAAAAUUAGUACAUCAAGACAUGAAUCCAUAAAAAUCCAUCCUGUUUACGAAGCUUCUACUGAAACACUAGUCUUUCUAAGCCGGUACUAGGCCCUCGGUUGGUUCAUGAAACUAAAAUGAAACCAACAUAUGGAUAAAGUGUCUUCCGAAUUAAGGGAGGCUCACCAACUUUGAAUGUACAAAAGAAAUCUCCUGUUGAGCUAGACUACGGGACUGUGUCCCAAAACAUACAUUAUUGAGACAACGCAACCGCCACGAGGACGGUCAAUGCUUGAAAUGUAUUGGUACAUUGAACGGCCAACAGAAAUAGCUUUCCAAAUAUCAUAAUUGUAAAAACAUCAUAAAAACCAUAACAUGGGGUCAUAUGACAUGAAAAUAGUCUGAAAACAUGUAAUUCAAUCUAAAAUUUCUUUGUAAACAACACAAUGUUAUUCUUUAGUUCUGAUCUAGGGGGCAUACCCGACAUGAUUUGAAAAAUCCUAACCGUUAUGCAAAGUUCAACAUUGACAUGUCUUCCAAGCCCCCAAUCCGAGUUUUCCGCAAGGAUUGGAGUGUCUGGUCUACAACUGCACAUAGCAAGUAUACAAUGAUCAUCCAUAUUUCAGGACAAGAUCAAUCCCGUAUCAUCCAAAAAUGGUUUCGAGCUAUGAGUUAUCUAAACUCGUGCCUUCUUGGUUAGCCACCUAAUUCUCUUUAAGACAAUAUUUUAACCUCUUAAAAUAUGCAUACUUUCUUAAAACAUGAUAUGAAGUCUUAAAAGUCUGUAGUCUAGUCUGGUCUGAGUCUGUCAUGACAUUUGUCUAAUUUGGUAUCGUUAUACCAAGACUUGGAAGCCAUAUAAGCCAUAUCAUAUAAUAGCCUUUUUUAUUCAAAAUCAUGUCAUUUGACCAUCGCAAGGACUAAAAUGUCAUAAGAGAGUUCUCUUUUAAAAUUGUUAUGAAAGCUUAAGUAAAAAUAUCUUUCUUUCAUAGCUCAACUCUUAAGGUGGUCAUCUCUUUCAUAAACGCAUAGUAAAACUCUUCCAAUAAUCAUGGUGUAGUUAAGAAUUCCCAUUCAUGAAAUUUGUUAAAGCUUUUACUAUAAGGAUUACUCUCAAUUAUAUUCAAUCAACCCCCAUUGAAAAACAAGAGCAACAUGAAAACAAAUGAUAAUUAUCAAAACCUUUCCUCAUGCAAAAUCGGGAAAGAAAAUCAGUCCCUUAAAAUAUUAAAAAAACAAACUAAUUUUGACGUACGGAAGGGGGUUCGCGGAGCGAACCCAUCAUACCUCAGGGUUCGUGGGCAAAAUCUAUCAUGAAAAUCAAGGUUGAUGGGGGAACCCUAUCGCGAACCUUAGGGUUUGUUGGGAAAACCUUAUAGAAAACUUUAAGUUGUAUCUCAUUGCGGCGAUAUCCACAAUGUGGGGAUACAACAGAGUCGCCAUUUCGCGAUGCAAAGCCCUUUUCUAAGCCUAAAAACAUCCCAACCCAUUCAAACCCAAUUUUAAGUGGUUUAUCUUAAAUAUUGGGCUCCUAAAGACUCGAUCCAAGAACUUUUUAAGCAUCGGAAAGGUUGGGUUAUUACAUUAUCCACACACACAUACACCAUUGGGAUCAUUCAUCCCCGAAUGAUUACUUGAAACACAUUAAGAAUGAUUUAAAGAGUUAAAUGGAAUAAAUUUAUCAAGAUAACAUUAAUACCAUCCAUUAUAUCAUCUGAUGAUUCGAAAAGUGAUGGGUACGCAUAUCAUCCUCUGGUCCCCAUGUAGCUUCCUCUACCGUUUGCUUACUCCACAAUACUUCAACAAAGCUAUAUCCUUAUUUCUCCACUUCCAAACUUGCCGAUCUAAUAUCGCUAUAGGUUCUUCUCAUAUGACAGGGAAUCCUUCACACCAAUGUUUGCAGCUGGAAACAAAAGUGAGUGAUUCCAAUACACUUCUUAAGCAUUGACAUAUGAAAUACAGGAUGAACUGAAGCUAAACUUGUAAGAAAAUCUAACUCAUAUGAAACUCCACCAAUCCUCCUCGCAAUCUGAUAAAGACCUAUGUAAUGAGGACUAAGUUUUCCGUUCUUCCAAAAUCUCAUGACUCCCUUCAUAGGGAAGACUUUUAUAAAAUGCCCAAUCAUCAAUCUCAAAUUCUAGCUCCCUUUUUUCUUACAUUGGCAUAGGACUUUUGGCGACUUUAGGUGGUCUUAAGUCUCUUUAUAAUGAAUUUCACUUUCUCUAUCUCCUAAUGGACAAGGUCCGAUCCAAAUGAACGAGUUUCACCCACCUAAUAUCAACCAAUUGAUGAUUUAUACCUCCUUUCAUAGAGAGCCUCAAAAGAAGCCAUUUGGAUGCUAGAGUGGAAGUUUUUGUUAUAGGCGAAUUCAAUUAGAGGCAAGUGAUCUAACCAACUACCUUUAAAGUCAAUUAUGCAAGCCCUUAACAUAUCCUCUAAAAUCUGAAUGGCACAUUUUUCUUUCCUAUCCAUUUGAGGGUGGGAAACGGUGUUAAGGUUUAAUUGGGUGCCCAAACCUUUCUAAAAAAACCAUCAAACUGAGAAAAGAAUUUCACACCUUGAUAGGAUAUAAUGGACACUGAAUCCGUAUGCAAAUAAACUGUCUCUUGAAUGUACAACUCUACAUAAUCAUCUCCCAAAUAAUUAGUCCUCACAGGCAAAACGUAAGCUGUCUUGGUCAUCCUAUCCACAAUAACCCAUAUUGAACCAUAUUGGUUUCGGUUUCACGUGAGUCCAGUAAUAAAGUCUAUGUUGAUCAUCUCCCACUUCUAUAAAGUCAAAGCUAUAUCCUGGGAGGUACCAUCUGGACUCAAGUGCUCCACCUUAACUUGUUGGCCAUUCAAACUCUUAUCUAAAAAGUUAGCAACAUUUCAAUUUAUGCUAUUCCCUCGGUAAAUCUCCUUUAGAUCAUGAUACAUCUUAGUAAAUCUAGGAUUAACAACGUACCUAGAAGUAUGAGUUUCAUCAAGAAUCCUUUCUAGUAAACCAUCCAUAUUCGGCAAAAAUGACUUACCUUGGUAUCUCAUAAUACCAUCUCCUCUUAUCUUAUAUGCCAUAACCUUUUGCUGGACAACAUCUUUCUUUAUUUGCUUCUGUUUGGGAUCUUUGGCUUGUUUUUUCUUAACCUCAGUACAUACGGAUGAUUUAGAUACUUCUUGGACAAACAACCCUCCAUCCUCGGAGUCUAGGAGUCGAACACCCAAAUUAGCAUGCCAAUGAAUAUCCUAGACCAAAUUACUCUUUCCUUCCUCAACAUGAGAAAAAUUUCCCUUGGCUAACCUGCUAAGAGCAUCAGCAACCAUAUUAGCUUUACCUAACUGAUAGUGCAGUCUUAUAUCAUAAUCCUUAAACAGCUCUAACCACCACCUCUGCCUAGGAUUCAACUCCUUCGGGGUAAAUAUGUACUGAAAACUCUUAUGAUCAAUAAAUAUGUAAACAUGUACUCCAUAAAGAUAAUGAUUCCUAAUUUUGAGUGCAAAAAGCACAACCUCCAACUCUAAAUCUCGUGUGGGAUAGUUUUUCUCUUGGAAAUUUAUCUGCCUGGAUACACAGGACACCACCUUACUAUGCUUCAUAAGUACACACCCAAGUACCACCCGAGAUGCAUCAUAGUAUACCAUAAAACCCUUUGUACCCUCGGGAAGGGUCAAAAUAAGUGCAGUAGUCAACUUGUCUUUCAAUCUCUCAAAACUAUUCUCACAAGUUUCAGACUACAAAAACUUUACCUUCUUCUAAGUCAACCUAGCAAGUGGAGCAACUAUGGAUGAAAAACUCUCCACAAACCUCCUAUAAUAUCCUACCAAACCCAAGAAGCUUUGAAUGCCUAUUGGAGUUAUGGGUUUGGGCCAUUUCUACACUGCCUUAAUAUUUUAGGGAUCAACCUUAAUUCUGUCACUAGAAAUAAUAUGUCUUAGGAAAGCUAUUGCACUGAACCAUAACUCACACUUAGAGAAUCUGGCAUACAACUCAUGAUACUUAAGGGUCUAAAUCAUGAUAUUGAGGUGAUUAGCAUGAUCUUCCUCACUCUGGGAGUAAACCAAAAUUCUUCGAUGAAAACUAUAACAAAUAGGUCCAAAAACUGAAAGAACACCCUAUUCAUGAGGUCCACAAACGUACUAAGGGACUAGUCAGUCCAAAGGACAUAACUAUUAAUUCAUAGUGACUAUAUCAGGUUUGGAAAGUUGUUUUGGGAAUGUCAGCAUCCCUAACCUUCAACUAAUGAUAACCCAAAUGGAGGUCUAUCAUAGAGAAACAUCUAGCACUCUAAACUUGUUCAAAACGAUCAUCAAUUCUGGGAAGAGGGUACUUAUUCUUGACAUUAACUUUAUUCAACUGACAGUGAUCUAUACACAUACGGAGGGAUCCAUAUUUCUUACGCACGAAGAGAACAUGAGAACCCUAGGAGGAGACACUAGGAUGAAUGAAUCCCUUAUCAAGAAAAUCUUUUAACUGCUCUUUCAAUACUUUUAAAUCCACAGGGGCCAUUCUAUACUGUGGAAUACAAAUAGGCAGAGUGUCUUGCAACAAGUCAAUACCAAAGUCUAUUUCCUUGACUGGGGUAUCCCCGGGAGGUCAUCAAAAAAGACUUCAGAAAAUUCAUUAACUACUGGGACUGAAUGGGAAGAAUGAUUUUCAGUGCAAGAAUCAUUGACCUGAACAAGGUGAUACAAACAACCCUUAGUUAUGACUUAUAGGCUCUAUGAUAAGAUAUGAACUUCUUUCUAGGUGUAAGAGAAUACACUUCCCAUUCUAUAUGGCUCUUUAGGGAUAUAGAAGGUGGCCUUUCUGGUUCUACAAUAUAAUGUAGCACAACAUAAAUAGAGCAAAUCCAUCCUAAAAUAGCAUCAAAAUCCACCAUAUCAAGUUCUACAAGGUUAACUAUAGUAUCCCAGUGAAAAACUGACACUACACAAUUUCCAUACACUCAUCUAGCAACAAUAAAAUCAUCAAUAAGGGUGGAGACAAAGAAGGGUUCAGAAAUAUUCUUGAGCUCAAAACCAAAAAUUACUGCGACAUAAGGGGUUACAUAAGACAAGGUAGACCCAGGAUCAAGUAACACAUAUAUAUCACGAUAGAAGAUUCGUACAUACCCAUUACUAUAUCUGGUGAACCAUUUAAGUCCUGACAUAUGGAUAAGGCAUACAAGUGCUCACAACCCCCGCCUGUACUAUAUAUGAUACCCUUAGCUAGAGGGAUAAAGAAGUAGAUUAGGCCUUAUUAUCCCCAUAAGUUCCUUUGGCAAUGGGAAAAUCUCCCUUAAAGUAAUCAACCUAACCACAACUAUAGCUCACAAGUGUCCCAUACUGACACUUUCCUGGAUGAAAUUUCCCGCAGGUGUUUUCGUGAGGGUGUAACUUAGCUGAUUGAACAACUCUUUCUUGAGACUGAGAGCCUUGCAUCCUUUGUCAACCACAGGCUGGAAACGCUGGUUGCUUGUUGGUUUGGGUGCAGGUGCAUUAGAUGAAGAGUGAGCAUUACCCUAAAACUUCUUCUUGGAACAUUUCUUGUCCCAUUUUCCAUCCUUCUGCUGACUGGUAUAAUGGUCUACAGACUUGGCUCUCUAAAUCUGUCUUUCUUUUUUCUCUACCUCUGUAGGCCUUUUUUCUCCUCUUCAACCUACUGUAUAUAUACACUUAUCUCGAAGAUAUCCAUGUAAAUAUUCAGCAUUACCCAUUUACAUUCUAAUACCAGAUCAUUUGAAAUACCGAAUGCAAACUUCCUCACAUGAGCCCUCAUGUUGCAGACCAACUCUUGAGCAUAAUAGGACAACUGAGUAAAUUUCAGUGCAUAUUCUUUGACGCUCAUCUUUCCUUACAUCAUAUUAACAAAUUCCUUAACCUUGGCUUCCAUCAACGCCUGAGGAAAGAAGUGAUCCAUAAAAGUCCUUACAAACUUAUCCCACAAUGCCGAUUCAACAGCCUCAACCCUCACUCUUCCUACUCUUCAAACAACUGGUGAGACACCUUUUUCAGCUGAUAAUUCAUAGAUUCUACCCCCUUAGUAUCGUCGGCAUACAUGACUCUAAAAAUUUUCUCCAUUUUAUCUACAAACCCUAGAGGAUCCUUCUCAAACUUGGUACCCAUAAAGGCGGGUAGGUUCAGCCUCAUGAAUUGGCCAACCCGAGUGAUCUCAGAAGAACCAAUAACUGAACUCAUAUUGCAAUACUAACAAGACUGUAAAGCCACAAGUUGAAAAAACAUGUGGAUAGACUAUCAAAACUUAGUAUUUGAGAUCUCUCUAUGGGAUCUAGGUGCGGUUCACACCAGUCUAGAGAGCUCGAGAAGGGCUAUUAGGGACUGGUGGAACCCAUGAAGGAGCAGCAAAAUUAGGAGUACAUGCUCUAUAACGGGUCCAUAUCCCAUGAGUUGGGAGGACAUCUUCAGCAUUUGUCCUAACAAGAAUGAAGUUUUCGGCUGAGGGGUUCUGUCCAUUGGAUCUUCGAGGAGGCAUAGUUUGAAAUGCAAAAAGUCAUGUGUUAGGAAAUAUUCAGACCCUAUAGCACAAACCACAACACAAAUAAAAAAGGAGACAUUCCUAAUUGUCUCAUAGCUUCCUCCUUAUAAGUGUGGUGUGCUACAUACCCAUAAAAGGGACUCUACUCAACACAGCUUCGUAGACACCUUGGGACCCUGAAUUAAGCUCUGAUGCCAAGCUUUUCAUGACCCAAGCCAAGGCCUUGGCCACGACGGGCAUCCUAAACCAUGAAGGAUGAAGAGCUCCUUAGCAUAUUAUCAUAAGCAUUAAUCAUACCAAAUGAAAAGUGGAAGGUAAACUCAAAUAUGAAAAUGGUUCAUAAUAAAAUUUGGUACAUCAAGACAUGAUUCCAUGAAAACUCAAAUACAGUCUAACCAGUCUAUGAAGCUUCUACUGAAACACUAGUUUGUUUACGUCAUGACAAGGCCCCUGGUAAGACCAUGAAAUUAAAAAGAAGCCAAAAUAUAGAUAAAGCGCAUUCUGAAGUAAGGGAGGUUCACUAACUAUAAAUGUCUAAAAGCAAUCUAAUGUUGAGAUACACCAUGGAACUGUGCCUCAGAACCUACAUUAUGAGAAAAUGCAACAGCCACAAGGACGAUCAAUACUUGGAAUGUAUUGGAACAUAGAACGGCCAAAAGAAAUAACUUUCAAAAUACCAUAAUAGUCUAGGCAUCAUAAAAAUCAUAACAUGGGGUCAUAUGACAUCAAAACAGUUUGAAAAUAUGUAAUUCAUUCCAAAACUACUUGGUAAAUAAUAUCAUGGUAUUCUUUAGUUCUGAGCUAGGCGACAUUCCCGAUAUGGUCUGAAUAAUCCCAUGGGCUAUGCGGGGUCCACCAUUUACUCGUUGAUCAAGCCCCCUAUUCGAGUUUCUCACAAGGAUUGAAGUGUCUAGUCUGAUGUACAACUGCAUAUAGCAACUAUACAAUGAUCAUCCAUAUUUCAGGACAAGAUCAAUCCCAUAUCAUAAAAAUACGAUUUUGGGCUAUGAGUUAUCUAAACUCUUGCCAUCUCGGUUAGCCACCUAACUCUCUUUAUGUUCAUAUUAUAACCUCUUAAAACAUGCAUAAUUUCUUAAAACAUGGUCUGAAGUUUGAAAAGUCAGUAGUCUAGUCUAAUCUGAGUCUGUCAUGGCGUUUGUCUGAUUUGGUAUCGUCAUAUCAAGAUCUGCAAGUAGUAUAAGUCACAUCAUAUCACAACCCUUUUUAUUCAAAAUCAUGUCAUUUGAACACCACAAAGACUCAAAUGUCAUAAGAGAGUACUCUUUUAAAAUUGUUAUGCAAUCUUAAGUAAAAAUGUUUUUCUUUUAAAGCUAAACUCUUAAGGUGGUCGUCUCUUUCAUAAACACAUAGUAAAACUCUUUCAGUAAUCAUGGUGGUUUAGUUAAGAUUCUCAUUCAUGAAAUCUGUUAAAGCUUUUAAGAGAAGGAUUAUUCUUUUCAAUCAUAUUCAAUUAACCACCAUUGAAAAACAAGAGCCACAUCAAACAAAUGAUAAUUAUCAAAACCUUCUUCAUGCGAAAUUAGGCAAGGAAAUCAUUCACAACCUCAUCAUUUUCGCAAAUCACAAUUCAAUAUGCAAACAUACAUAUGUAUAAACCCAUAAGAAGCACAAUUGAGGUUGGAUGCAAAUAUUGAAAUUCAUGCUCUUGUUGUGAAUGAAAAUCUCAAAGCUUGAACACUUAAAAGCGAUACAAACAUUUAUAAAUUCAAACCCCAUAAGAUAUAGGUCGCUCUACGUACCACUAAUGGAGAGAAUUUAAAUCAAAGUUUACCGUUGAGCUUUGAAUACUCAAACCGAAGGUAGUUUUCUUCUCUCUUUCUUUUAGAAUGAUGAUUUUGGAUUUACGGAGGUGUAAAAGCAUUUUUAAGGAUCUACACUCAUACACAAGGGAUUGAGAAUGACUUGGUGGGGUGAAAUGGCCUUCAAGCUCUUAAAAUAUUACAAAAAUCGAACUAUUUCGACGUACGGAAGGGGAUUCACAGAGCGAACCCAAUCAAACCUCAGGGUUCGUGGAGUGAACCCCAUAGCAAACCUCGGGGUUCGUGGGGAAAACCCCAUAGCGAACCCAAGGCAAUAGCCCAUCGUAGGGCUUCCGACGGAUUCCCUAUUUUGCGAUGCAAAUCCUUUUUGAAAGCCUAUAAACACCCCCAACCCAUACAAACCCAAUCUUAGGUGGUUUAUCUUUGAUAUUGGGGUCCUAAAGACUCGUUCCAAGCACUUUUU